AAUUAAGCAAAUUAAGGGCGUAUGGUGAAUGCCUUGGCACAAAAGAUCGAUGAAGGACGUAGUAGAUUGCGAUAAGCUUCGGGUAGCUGUCAAACGAGCUUUGAUCCGAAGAUCUCCGAAUGGAGUAAUCCAACUGGGAUUAUGCCCAGUUAUCAUGCAGUGAAUUCAUAGCUGUAUAGAAGAGCACGCAGGGAAGUGAAACCUCUCAGUACCUGCAGGAAAAGAGAACAAGAGUUUAUUCCCCUAGUAGUGGCGAGCGAAAAGGGAAGAGCCUAAACCUAUACUGUGUAAGAGGAAUACGAAGCCUGAUUCGCGUUGCGAUGAUGGCGGACUUGAACUCGCAGGUUGCUACUCGUGCAGUAUGGGUGUUGUAAGAGUUAAUGGAAGUGGUAGCAAACACUUCGAGGAGUUACAAAAUUCCAUUUUAGUAGAAUAUAUCUGGAAAGAUAUGCCAUAGAGAGUGAUAGCCUCGUAUACGAAAAUGUGGAAUCUCCUUUUUAAUUUCUUAAGUACCACGGAACACGUGAGAUUUUGUGGGAAUCAGCCGAUACCACUCGGCAAGGCUAAAUAUCUUUUGUGACCGAUAGUGAAUUAGUAUAGAGAGGGAAAGGUGAAAAGUACCCCUGUUAGGGGAGUGAAAUAGUAACUGAAACCAUAUGCUUACAAACAGUCGUAGCUGGUAUAUCCAGUGGCGGCGUGCCUAUUGAAGAAUGACCCAGUGAGUUCGUUGUGUGUGGCAAGGUUAACCAUGUUUAUUGGGGAGCCGAAGCGAAAGCGAGUCCGAAUAGGGCACCUUGAGUCACAUGCACGAGACCCGAAACCAGGUGAUCCAGCCAUGAGCAGAGUGAAGUUCUGAGAAAUCAGGAUGGAGGCUCGAACUCGUUAAUGUUACAAAAUUAUGAGAUGACUUGUGGCUAGCGGUAACAUGCCAAACGAACCUGGUAAUAGCUGGUUCUCCCCGAAAUAGCUUUAGGGCUAGCGUUGUGAUUUAAGAUGUGGGGGUAGAGCACUGAUUGAAUUUGGGACCCGAAAGGGUACCCACUUCAGUCAAACUCCGAAUACCAUAUUGAACAUCACAGCAGUUAGAGCUAGGGAUCUAAGUUCCUAUGCUCGAGAGGGAAACAGCCCAGAUCGUCAGAUAAGGACCCUAAAUUUUACCUUAGUGGGAAAGGAAGUGAAAUUUCUCAGACAGUUAGGAGGUUGGCUUAGAGGCAGCCAUCCUUUAAAAAAUGCGUAAAAGCUUACUAAUCAAGAGAUUUUGCACUUAAAAUUAACGGGGCUGAAGGUAAAUUCCGAAGCUGCGAAUUUAUACAUACUUCGGUAUGUAUGGGUGGUAGGGGAGCGUUCUAUACAUGACCGACUUAGCAGUCGGUAAUUAGCUGCGAAGGUGGCCCGUAAGGAGUUGCUGGAGCGUAUAGAAGUGAGAAUGCUGGGAUGAGUAACGUAAAGCAGGUGAAAACCCUGCUCGCUGAAUGUCUAAGGUUUCCAUGGCUAUGUCAGUCAACCAUGGGUUAGUCGGUCCUAAGGAGAGGCUGAAAAGCGUAUCCGAUGGAUAACAGGUUAAUAUUCCUGUACUACUGAUAUUUGAAAUGGAGUAUGAGGAUUGAAGAUGCAGGCCCCUUAUUGGUUUGGGGUGUAAGCAACAAGAGAGCUCUUCUAGGAAAAUCCGGAAGAGUGUUUCCACCUCGGUGGAUGAACGCGAGUUGUGAUACAAAGGUGACCUUCGGGAAGCCGAUUUGUAGUACUUAAUUCUCCAGGAAAAACUUCUAUCUUUAACUACUUCGGUAGUUAAUAAAGUAUUAGUAACCGUACUGCAAUCCGACACCGGUAGACUGGUGUAAAAGCACCAAGGCGUACGAGUUAUGCGUUGUUAAGGAAUUCGGCAAAUUGACCCCGUAAGUUCGCAAGAAGGGGGACUCUACAUCAUAAGUUUUUUAUUUGUGGUGAUUAGAGUGGCACAGAAUAGGGAAGAACGACUAGUUACCAAAACUACAGGCGCUUGCAAACUCGUAAGAGGAUGUAUAAGUGCUGACACCUGCCCAAUGCCAGAAGGUUAAGAUAAUUUGUUAGCUCUCUGCUGGGUGCACUUCGGUGCCCUAGUGGUUGCGAAGCAAAGAGUCGAAGCCCUGGUCAAUGGCGGCUGUAACUAUUAGACCUGGUGGGGUAGCAAUACCCUGCCAGGAAUUGUAGUUGUAAAAUUUGGCUAUAUGCUGGAACGUCUGAGUAUUUCUUGCUACUCAUUAGAUGAUAUUCAAAUUGUAAGAAAUUUGUAAUCUCUAGUAGUUAAAAUGUAAGAAUGCAGAUAAUCAGCAGGAAAGAUUUGUAAUGUCAGAUCCUAUUUUUACAGAACAAUUGAAAUGGUUUCUCUCUGGAUUUAUCGAUGGAGAGGGAAGCUUUUGUCUUAAUAUUAAGAGUAGAAAGGACUCUAGGUAUGGUUUGAGAAUAGAGCCAGCUUUUUAUGUUUAUCAACAUGAAAAAAGUGUCCAUAUACUUGAAUUGUUAAGAAAGAUGUUUGGAUGUGGAAGUAUCCAUAGAAAAACAUCACCGUAUAGCGUUUUUACGUAUCAGAUUUCUGGUAUAAAACCUUGCUAUACCAAAGUUAUUCCUUUCUUUGAGAAGUAUCCGUUAAUCGUAAAGUCUCAGACUUUUGAAAUUUUCAAAAGAGCUGUUGAUUUUAUGUAUAAAAAGCGACAUCUAACUAAGGAAGGUUUUCUUUACUUAGUGGAUUUAGCAUAUGAGAUAAACCAACAAGGGAAAGGUAAAAAAUGGGAUAAAGAGACAAUAAUUACAAAAAUCCUCAGAGACUAUACGCCAAACUCCUGAUAGGGAGAUGAGAUAGUCCGACCUGUAUGGCGACAUACAGAUGUAUAUAGAAAUAUAUACACGAAUCUAACAAACGUUGUUAGAGGGUAACACAAGUGAACGGUGGUAGAUAUAUAUCUACUGAGAUAUUUGCUAAUCUCGGUUUGCUAUCUAAAGAUAUAGGGCCGUUUUAAAAUCUAGCUAUAUGCUGGAACAUCCUAAACGAUACAAGUACCAAAGAGUAACAAUCUUGUAUUUAUGGACAAUCAGCAGGAAAGAUCCAAGAAAUUGGAAAUCCUCAGAGGCUACAUGCUAGACACAAUAUAAUAUUGUGAAGAUAUAGUCCGACCUCUACAGUGAUGUAGAGAGAUACACGAAGGUGUAUCCGCCUAAAAAUAGGUCUUCUAGUUUAAUGAACACUAGAUGGAAGUAACAGAAAUGCCUAAGGUAGCGUAAUACCUUGUCACUUAAUUAGUGACUUGCAUGAAAGGUGUAACGAUUUUUCCUCUGUCUCGACAACGUGCUCGGUGAAAUUGAAAUGGCUGUGAAGAUGCGGCCUACCUAUACCAGGACAAAAAGACCCCGUGGAGCUUUACUUCAGCUUUGCAUUGAGAUAAGGUCUCGGAUGUAUAGAAUAUGUGGGAGACUAUGAAGCAGUUUCGUCAGGAAUUGCGGAGUCGACAGUGUAAUACCACUCUUUUGAUAUUUUAUUUCUAACAGUAUCCAUUAUCUGGAUUCUAGACAGUGCAUGGUGGGAAGUUUGACUGGGGCGGUUGCUUGCUAAAGAGUACCGCAAGCGCACUAAGGUCUCCUCAACCCGGAUGGAAAUCGGGUGAAGAGUGCAUAAGCAUAAGGAGGCUUUACUGUGAGAGGGACACCUCGAUCAGUUACGAAAGUAGGUUUAAGUGACCCUUUGGUUGCGCGUGGAAGCGCCAUUGUUUAACGGAGAUAAGCUACCCCGGGGAUAACAGGCUAGUCUUGCCCGAUAGUUCAUAUUGACGGCAAGGUUCGGCACCUCGAUGUCGGCUCGUCGCAUCCUGGGAUUGGAUAAGAUCCCAAGGGUUGGACUGUUCGUCCAUUAAAGCGGCACGCGAGCUGGGUUCAGACCGGCGUAAGCCAGGUCGGUCUCUAUCCGGUAUAGGCGUUGUAUAUUUGAGAGAAUCGUCCCCUAGUACGAAAGGAUCGGGGAGUGGUAACCUCUGGUCUACCAGCUGUUCUACCAAGAGCAUGGCUGGGUAGCUAAGUUAUUAUCGGAUAAGCACUGAAAGCAUAUAAGUGCGAAGCCAAUCUCAAGAUUAAAUAUACUUGUGUAGCUUGACUACAUGGGAGGUCUGUGGAAGACUACCACAUUGAUAGGCUCUAAGUGUGAGUAUAGUGAUAUACUUAGCUGAGGAGUACUAAUUGACCAAAAGCUUCUUUGA
This 4223-nucleotide ribosomal RNA is filed under the name Candidatus Dojkabacteria bacterium. Its description in RNAcentral is "23S ribosomal RNA". It matches the Rfam family "Bacterial large subunit ribosomal RNA". The record is from RNAcentral.